Molecule: ribosomal RNA, 322 nt
Filed under: uncultured eukaryote
Lineage: Eukaryota
Description: partial 18S ribosomal RNA
Rfam family: Eukaryotic small subunit ribosomal RNA
Source: RNAcentral
CCCUUAGAUGUUCUGGGCCGCACGCGUGCUACACUGAGUGGAUCAGCGGGUCAGGUUGCGCGAAAGUGUUUCCUAAUCUUGAAAUCCGCUCGUGAUGGGGAUUGACGGUUGCAAUUUUCCGUCAUGAACGAGGAAUACCUUGUAAGCGCGGGUCAUCAUCCCGCGCUGAAUACGUCCCCGCCCUUUGUACACACCGCCCGUCGCUCCUACCGAUUGAGUGGUCCGGUGAGGCUUUGGGAUCUGAGCGGAAAGAGCGUUUCGCUGUUUCUGCUCGGAAAACUCAGUCGAACCUUAUCAUUUAGAGGAAGGAGAAGUCGUAACA